UCAUAGUGAUCCGGUGGUUCUGAAUGGAAGGGCCAUCGCUCAACGGAUAAAAGGUACUCCGGGGAUAACAGGCUGAUACCGCCCAAGAGUUCAUAUCGACGGCGGUGUUUGGCACCUCGAUGUCGGCUCAUCACAUCCUGGGGCUGAAGUAGGUCCCAAGGGUAUGGCUGUUCGCCAUUUAAAGUGGUACGCGAGCUGGGUUUAGAACGUCGUGAGACAGUUCGGUCCCUA
This 231-nucleotide ribosomal RNA is filed under the name Escherichia coli. RNAcentral describes it as "partial 23S ribosomal RNA". It matches the Rfam family "Bacterial large subunit ribosomal RNA", at positions 2410 to 2640 of the family's 2925-position model. The record is from RNAcentral. Lineage: Bacteria; Pseudomonadati; Pseudomonadota; Gammaproteobacteria; Enterobacterales; Enterobacteriaceae.